CAUUGAUGAUAGCUUACAAUUAUCAUCCGCCUGGGAACUACGAGCACCAGCUUAAAACCCAAAGGACUUGGCGGUGCUUUAGACCCACCUAGAGGAGCCUGUUCUAGAACCGAUAACCCCCGUUCAACCUCACCCUUCCUUGUUCUUCCCGCCUAUAUACCACCGUCGUCAGCUUACCCUGUGAAGGAUUAAUAGUAAGCAAAACUGGCAAAGCCCAAAACGUCAGGUCGAGGUGUAGCGUAUGGAAGGGGAAGAAAUGGGCUACAUUCACUAACUCAGUGUACACGAAUGACACCCUGAAACACGUGUCUGAAGGAGGAUUUAGCAGUAAGUAGAAAAUAGAGUGUUCUACUGAAACUGGCCCUGAAGCGCGC
This 374-nucleotide ribosomal RNA is filed under the name Ctenochaetus binotatus (twospot surgeonfish). RNAcentral describes it as "partial 12S ribosomal RNA". It matches the Rfam family "Bacterial small subunit ribosomal RNA", at positions 801 to 1384 of the family's 1533-position model. The record is from RNAcentral. Lineage: Eukaryota; Metazoa; Chordata; Actinopteri; Acanthuriformes; Acanthuridae.